AAUAUAAGUCCCCAAGGGUGGGGGAUUUUGUUGCAUUAUUUGGACCCCAUACUGGGGCAUUUGCAACGUUUUUUCGCCAAAAUGACAAACGCCCGGGGGGGUGUUGGCCAACACCCAUGGAAUUGAUUGAGACAUAACAUAGUCAGCUAUAUCGUUCUCUGCUAUAUUAAAAGACAAUGUCAAUGUUGAAUAACGUAGUGGGCUACUGGGCUUAUAUUCGGGGGACUUAUAUUUGGGGGGCUUAUAUUCGGGAGGGCUUAUAUUUGGAAUGAGGUAAGCAUUAGUAUAUGUGGUGGGCUUAUAUUCAGGGGGGGGGCUUAUAGUCGGAGGUUUACGGUAUGCAUCCGCAGAAACAACUUCAGCAUAUAUUCCACAGGAAAUGUUAGGCAGUGUUGGAAUGUGAUGGAUAUGCCAUAAAUUGUGGAUUUUGUAUAAACUGAAAGGUUUUCACAAAGCUGUCCUCCAGGUUCAAAAUAUAGUCAAGGAAACACUUGCCUAUACAGUAUGGGAUCGCUGCGGUGCUGGUAAUGCCUCAAGUCUGGAAAAGCUUUAAUGGUGUGCUGCUAGGAUUGUGUCCAGAAUACCUGAGAGUGAUAAAGCAAUGAACAUGUUGAAGUGGCCUUCUCUGCAGAGCAGGCGAGACGACAACAUUUUUAAAUUAGUCAAUAAAUGUAUUCAGGGACGUUGUCCGCAACUUUUUAAAAAUUAUUUUACUCUUAACAGCUCGGUACAUAGUAGAGUGACUAGGCAGAGUCAUAAACUGCACUUGCCUCGAGUACGAACUGAACAGGCAAAGAAAUCCUUUUAUUACAACGGUUGUGUUGUAUAUAAUAAUAAGCAAAAAUAGUUUUAUUCUCUAGUAUAUAUAUAUAUAGUAUAUUGUUUUAAUACCUAAUUGUCAUAUAGCAUGUAAAGAUUGUAUUUUUUUUUUAAAUAGUAGGGC
This is a non-coding RNA of Paramuricea clavata, 943 nucleotides long. NCBI's taxonomy places the organism in Eukaryota, Metazoa, Cnidaria, Anthozoa, Malacalcyonacea, Plexauridae. The record is from the annotation of a GenBank genome assembly.